This 254-nucleotide ribosomal RNA is filed under the name uncultured bacterium. RNAcentral's name for it is "partial 16S ribosomal RNA". It matches the Rfam family "Bacterial small subunit ribosomal RNA", at positions 524 to 776 of the family's 1533-position model. The record is from RNAcentral.
UACGUAGGGGGCUAGCGUUGUCCGGAAUCAUUGGGCGUAAAGAGCUCGUAGGCGGCUCAGUAAGUCAGAUGUGAAAACUCAGGGCUCAACCCGGAGACGCCAUCUGAUACUGCUGUGGCUUGAGUCUGGUAGGGGAUCACGGAAUUCCUGGUGUAGCGGUGAAAUGCGCAGAUAUCAGGAGGAACACCGAUGGCGAAGGCAGUGAUCUGGGCCAGUACUGACGCUGAGGAGCGAAAGCGUGGGUAGCAAACAGG